UUUAUAAUAUUUGUUUGCGCAGGUAUAUAUGCCCUUUGAAAUUUGAUACUGAAUAUGUGAUUCAGGUGCCUAUUUGUUCUUAACUUUUUUAGGUGAUUUAGUUAAUCAGUACAAGACACCAAGGUAUGUGGAGUUUAACCUAUGGCUGUUGUUGAACUCUUGAUUUUAUCAUUUUAUUGCACAUACUCUGAUAGUGAAUUAAUGGAUUAGCAAAUUAAUAUUAUUGUGGUUUUAUAUUGCCCUUUUCAAGUUACCGGAGAAUUGGAGUCUGUCAAAGUAUUGUAACCGCUUCAAUUGAAGAUCCUAAUGGUUAUAAGUUUGAAAAGAAUGACUUGCGAACCUUAUGCAAAGUGAUGCUUCAAUUGAAGAUCCUAAAGGUUAUAAAGGUUAUAAGUUUGAAGACACCAAGGUGUGUG
This 416-nucleotide long non-coding RNA is filed under the name Trifolium pratense (red clover). Its description in RNAcentral is "long non-coding RNA (TPRA_LNC008752)". Lineage: Eukaryota; Viridiplantae; Streptophyta; Magnoliopsida; Fabales; Fabaceae. The record is from RNAcentral.